CAAACAAUAACCGAAAAUGAUCGAUACAUAUUUUCACACAUUUCAAAGAGAUUGUUAAAGAUGAUUCCAUAUUCUUGGUCUCUGUAAUCUUUUUUAAAUCAAGAGUUAUAUAAACAUUUCCCAAUUAUGUCGCUCGAGGAUCCAUUCUUUGUUGUCAGAGAGUAAGUACUGUAAUCUUAGCAGAUAAAGACGACUGAAACGAAACAGAAACUCUCAGGCUUGUAAACGACUGUUUUAACCUAUAUUCUAAAGGUGUUACUAAACUGUCAGAAAGCUUUCGAGAUUUUCUCUUAAAUAAACUUCAUUACACGUGUAGUGAUCAUCUUUACCACAAAAUUAAAGAUUGCAUUUGAUUAGGUUACUUUUGAACAUGUUUAUUCUAGAAUUUAUUCUUAGUAUUAUUUCCUAAUCCUAUCUUUUUUCUUUGCCUUUUAAUAGUUUAAGUCUUUGGUAUUGGCUAUUAGGGUCCAUUUGCUCCCUUAAUAGUUUCCACCCUACAGAUUCAGUCACACCCUAUUUUUAUUUUCUCCAGCAAAGGUGUUGGGAGGGACACAAAAGUAUGGGGUGUUCUACUGUCCGUCUGUCUGUGCCUACUGCUACAUCCUGUUUAGUUUAUAGCAUUCUCAGAUGUAUGAGAAUAGAAAUGCGCUCUACCGUGAGUCAUCUGACAGUAAUAUGUGGCUACAAUUAGCACUAAAUUCGUCAAAAUAUCCUUAUGGUGAUAUGUCAGUGGUCUCAUCACUUGGCGUCCAUCGUCCUGCGUCCGACGUCCGUAAACUUUUACAAAAAUCUUGUCCUCUGACAUACCUGUCAACUGACCUGUAUUCUGUGGGUGUGACCCGAGAUUUUCACAAUUCUGAAGGAUCACCCGGAACACCCGCCAGGUCAUUGAAAUAACCUGGGAUUUCCGAAAAUGACCCGAUUUCACCCGUAUUUCUUAGCCUUGAGAUUGAUUUCAUAAGUAAUAUUCCUUUGAAAUACUGGCAAAUUCGUAAUUCUUCCAUGGACAGGAAGUUCAUCUAGCUAUGUAAACUGUCAAAUUAAGUGACCCAUUAAGUGCAUGGCUUCACUUGACAGCUUUGGUGUCAAACACACUGUUAAUUAACACCAAUUACCUUAGCUUUAGGUCGUAAAUAAAUUGCACCAUUGGUUGACAAACUGAACUAGAGUUACUUCCCCUUAUUUGUCACCAUUCAAAAUUAUUCCUUAUAUUUACGUUUUAUGGGUGAAAAAGAUUAAAUCAUAAAAAUAUAAAAUUCAAAUACAUACAUGUAUUGAAAAAUAACUUUUCAUUAUUUUUAUACCUUUAUACAAUUUUUUUUUAAAAAGUUGAAAAUUAUUUUUUACAUUUAAUACAUUUUUACUUCCUUUAACUGUAUUACUAUAUUUUAUCAUAGUCUAAUUUCCUUGUUAAAUGAAAAAUAUUAUGGUUAAAGGCUACAUCAUGUACUUAGUCAAUAGUCUCAAACAUUUAAGAAUUACAUUAAAUUCUGGUGUUUUUUAAAUUUAUAAAAAUAUUUAAUAAGAUUUAAAAUGACUUAACAAAGUGAACAUGCAUUGAUGUUUUGGUAUCUUUGAUAUACAUUAUAAGAAAAUGUACCAUAAAUACUGAAAUUCAGCUCGAAAAAGAUCGUACGCGUUGUGACCUGAGAUUUGAUUCUUCAAUGCAGGUCAUGACCUGCAUUUUUAUCGUCACAGGUUGACAGGUCUGCUCUGAAACUACUGGGCCAAAUUUAACCAAACUUGGCCACACUCAUCCUUGGGGUAUCUAGUUUAAAAGGUGUGUCCAAUGACCCGGCCAUCCAACCAAGGUGGCCGUCAUGGCUAAAAAUAGAACAUAGGGGUAAAAUGUAGAUUUUGGUUAAUAUCUCUGAAACCAAAGCAUUAAGAGCAAAUCUGACAUGGGGUUAAUUUAUUCAUCAGGUUAAGAUCUAUCUGCCCUGAAAUUUUCAGACAAAUGAUCUGACAACCUGUUGUUGGGUUGCUGCCCCCAAAUUAGUAAUUUCAAGAAAAUUUUGCAAUUUUUGGUUAUUAUCUUGAAUAUUAUAAAAGAUAGAGAUAAACUGUUAGCAGCAGUAAUGUUCAGCAAAGUAAGAUCUACAAAUAAGUCAACUCGACCAAAAUUGUCAGUUGACCUCUUAAGGAGUUAAUUAUUGCCCUUUAUAGUCAUUUUUAACAAUUUUUCUAAAAUUUUAGUAAUCUUUUUAAAAAAUCUUCUCCUCUGAAACUACUUGACCAAAUUUAACCAAACUUGGCAACCGUCAUUUUAAGGGUAUGUAGUUACAAUAAUGUGUCCAAUGGCCUCAUCCACAAACCAAGAUGGCCGACAUGGCUAAAAAUAGUACAUAGGGGUAAAAUGCAAUUUUUUACUUUUAUCUCUGAAUUCAAAGCGUUUAGAGCAAAUCUCAUUCAUUUAAAUUUGUUCAAUAAGUCAAGAUCUAACUGCCUAGUCAACCUGUUGUUGGGUUCCUGUCCCUGAAUUGGUAAUUUUAAGAAAAUUUUGCAGUUUUUGUUAUUAUCUUCAAUAUUAUCUUAGAUAAAGAUAAACUGUAAACAACAAUUAUGUAAAGCAAAAUAAGAUCUAGAAAUAAGUCAACUUGAGCAAAACUGUCAAUUGACCCCUUAAGGAGUUUUUGCUCUUUAUAGUAAAUUUUAAACAAUUUUCGUAAAUUUAUCAUGUUUAUGUAAAUUUUUGUAAACUUUUACAAAACAUUUUCCUUUGAAACUACUGAGCCAAGUUCAUUAUAGAUAAAGAAAAAUUGUAAGCAGCAAGAAUGUUCAGUAAAGUUAGAUUGAAAAACACAUCAUCAUCACCAAAACAUAAUUUUCUCAUGAAUUCUAUUCUCAUCUAAUAUGUAUGUCCUUUGUUUAGUAUGAUCAUAGACCAAGGUGAGGGACACAGGCUCUUUAGAGCCUCUAGUUUUUUUCAAACUCACAAUUAAAAUAUUUUGAAUAGCAUGAAAAGAGCCAUUUCAAUGAAAUUAAAAUUAGUAAAGUUGUGAACACUCACAAAUUAAAAAUAUAACUAAUGAUAUCAUAUUGAAAUUGCAUAAUAAGAAUGGUUUAAUAGUACCAAUGGUUUUAUUCCAACUGUCAUGACUAUUACUGUAUUUAGAUUAAAACCUUAUUUUAAUAUCAUAUAUACUCAUAUGUAAAUACAUACCUUGCAUUUAAAUCUCUCUUGAAUUUUCAGUGAAGUACAGAAGGCCUUGCAAUCUGCCACAAGUCUUUAUGAGAGAUGGAGUGAGUUAAUUAAUAACCCUAAGAGUGUAUCUAAGGAGGAAUAUGAUUGGACAACCAAUGAAUUGAGGAACAGUUUGCGGAGUAUAGAUUGGGACCUGGAAGAUCUAGAAGAAACCAUUGGUAUCCUUACACAUUGAAUAACUACAUUUAUCAUAUACUUAGCAUUAAUAUGAUAGCUUUUGCAUAUGUGUAAUGAGCGGAAGUACAUUUUGUACACAAGCCAUAAUUUCCCACCCGGGCUGAUAACCCAUAUCAGGUGCAUCUCAUGCACAAAACCCAUAAUAGUGCCUCUUCUGCAAGUUACUUCCGGUAUUUCCAGUAUCGGUUGUUGACUUUUCCAUUGUGACGUCAGAUAUUUUUUAUGACGACGUCAAAAUUUACGGGAACUUUUGUGGGGAUAGUUUAGUACUUGCUAACAAAUGCCAUUGACAAUUAUGAAUCAUUUUAUAGUACAACAAACAUGGAUUAAUAAGAAUCAUAAAACUCUUACUUUUCAAUGUUUCAAAACGCCUCUAUAGGAAAUACUAACAUAAAUAAAUAUGGAGGUAGUGAUGUUAUUGUUGGGCAAUUAUAGUGUAUUUUUUUGAUUCAUAAUUUUUAGUUAUGUUUUAGUAUUUUAUUUGUUAAUUUGCCAUACAUAAAACAAUUGUCGGAAGUAUAUGAUAAAGAGAUUAAUACAUGGCCUUUUCCAUAUCAGCCCGGGUAUCAUCCCUCGACCCAUAUCAGCACCUCGACUACGUCUCAGGCUGAUAUGGGGGUCUCGGGAUGAUUCACUGGCCGAUAUGGAAAAGGCCAUGUUCUAAUCUCUAUUUAUCACAUAUUUUGUACUGAUAUGUACGUUUUUGCAUGGCCAAUAAUAGCCGGAAGUCAAGGUUGGUUAUCAGCCCUCGGGGCCAAUAUUGAUAUCAGCCCUCGAAAUCCAUAUCGAGCCCCUGAGUUUAACUUCUGGUAACCUGUCAAUCAAAAACUAUUUGUAAACAAGUUGUCAUCUGAAGCAGCUAGAUGAUCAGGAGAGUUUUCUCACAGAUCAAAUGACGAUGCAUGUAAAUUCAUACAAGAAAUGACAAAUGAGAAAACAAUUGCAAUUACAUGUAGGCUAGAUUUAGAAAAUGUUUUACUCAGCAUAUCAUUAAUUUAGGAAUUUGUUAAAGUUACCUUUUUGUUGUUAGAAGAAUAUGGAUUCUUGGAAGUUUUCUUUUCUAUUGUAAGAUGUGUCUUUCACUAAUCCUUUUCAUUAAUAAUCUAAGUUCUUUUUUCAUAUUUUUAAUGGUAGUAAUAAAGUAAUGUUAAUGAGCUGAUGAUACUUUCUUUUAGUUUUUGGAAAGAUUAGAACUUGUUCUAAAUCUUUACUAAGGCACCUGCCUCCCUUACAACACGACAGGUUAGCUACUGUUACUAAAUGUAUUCACACUGAAAUAUAGUUCCCUAUGGUUUCUCAUGUAUGUUCACAUAGUACACAUAUAAACUGAUAAAUGGGUAUAUAAUUAUAACAAAUCAUUUUAAAUGUCCUGGAUUUUUAACAGGCACAAUCUUAGAGGGAAAAUAAUCAAAGUCUUGAAAAUUGGAAUCAUUAUUCAAUAAUUUUGCUUAAAAAACGGAGAGGUGUGAUGGUUUAACAACUCAAACAAGAAAAGGAGACUGGUGGUAUUAUUUAACUUUUAAGUUUGACAUUUUCAUUAAUUGCGUUCUUUAACUAUCUCAGAUAUUGUUGAGAAAAAUUUGAAAAAGUUUAAAAUAGAUGAAUCAGAACUUGAAGACAGAAGAUCUUUUAUUAGAAGGACACGAGUCUCUGUAAAGGUAAGCAUAGAGAAGCUAGAUAUGAAUAAAAUGAGAUGUUGAGUAUAUGUCAUUGAGACAGCAAUCUAACAACACAAAAAAGCAAAGAACAUCUCUACGUCAACAAUACAGUCUUCAACAGCAGACUGAUGUCCAUACAAUAUAUCAAACUCUUAAGUUGCCCGAUUCGAAAGAAAUGAAAUUUAACAGGUUUGUAAUAAAACGAUUCUCUAGAGCCCAUAAACAGUCUCUUACAACAGCCAAGUGACCACACUGUAAGAAGCUAUGUACCGAUGCGUGUAUAAACAAGUUUUGAUUAAAUUCAUAAGAGAUGACCCAAGAUCUAACAUCAAUCUUUACAUUCUAAUGAGACAGAAUUCAUAAAAAAAGACAGAAUCAACCACAGACAGACUUUUUGGCUGGCACUUUCAAAUGUCACAACUUCAAUGUCAUAUGAAAAUGUUUUAUUGCAAUAUAAUGUAAUAUUUUAGUCUCCAUUUCCUAACAGAGCAAUGAAAUGACAUUAAAUUCAGAUCACUUUUAAAUUUUUGCCUUUAAAUGAUGAUAUUUGUGUUAAACUAUGUUCAGUUUAUACAAAAUAUUCAAUCUUGAUGCAUCUGUGGACUCACCAGUUUUAAAAAUGGUGAGUCCAGACAGAUUUUGAUGAGUUCAGGACUCAUGGACUUGCCUUAGUGAGAACCCUGAUAUGAAAACCAACUUAUAAGUAAUAGCAUACUAUGUGGUAUGGGUGUUGCUCAUUCAUGUUGAUCUAUAGUUAUUAACUUCUACCUAAUUUGGUUUCUGGUGAAGAGUUGUCUCAUUGCAAUCAUACCAUCUUAUUUUUACUAUGAUAUUUUUGCAAAAUGAUAUUAUUUAAAUACAAUUGACAUCAGACUUACAAAAAAAACACUGCAUUAAUUUUGAAGUUCUACAAAUUAGGAUUUAUUUUAUUUCAUUGCAUUUAUUUGAAAUUGUAUUGUAGUCAAUGAAGGAUAAUUUAUCCAGUAAACAGACAAAGGGGAAAGAUGAAACCAAUGUGAGACAGGUAAUGUUUUUAUAUUUGAUUAGAUAGUUAUCAAAGGUACCAGGAUUAUAAUUUAGUACGCCAGACGUGCGUUUCGUCUUCAAAAGACUCAUCAGUGACGCUCAUAUCAAAAUAUUUAUAAAGCCAAACAAUAUUCCAUUUGUUUAUACAGUCACACAAUCAAAACAUCAAAUUCAUGAAUAACAGAUUUGUGUAAUUGAAAACUUUUAUUUGUCUUAGUGUUAGCUAUGGAGAUUUUGUAUAUCGUCAAUUUACUGGAAUUCCAAGUGUGACUGACUGUACACCACUUAUUGCAGACCUGUUUCUGUAUAAUUAUGAGUUAGAAUUUAUGACUAUAACCAGCAAAGACCCAUGGAAACAACGUCUGAUACAAAAAUUUAAUAUAAACACUUUUAGAUAUUUGGAUGAUAUAUCAUGUUACAAGAUUCAUGUAUAUUGGCUCUCAAUAAUGAAGACUUCAGUAAUAAUGUAUUUUGCUGAACUGACUUAAAAUAAAGGUAAUACUAACAAUAAACACUGCACUUUCCUUGAUCUUUCCAUUUUAUUAAUUUUUAUGGCCCUGCAACGAAGUUGUCGGUGCCAUAUAGUUUUACCCUUGUCCGUCAUUCUGAAAUUCCGUCAUUCCGUCAUUCCGCAACAAACCAUUAUACAGAGUUUUUUUUUAAAUGCCUUCAGAUAUUGGGCUGAUUUUUGGUAUGUGAGUUAACCAUGAUGAGUUACAGAUCAAGUUUAAGUUUUGUUCUGCUCCACUAAUUUUUGCCGAAAUUACGGGCUUUGGACUUUAAGAAAUUGUUGAAAAUCACAGUUAUACAGACUUUUUUUCUAAACACCUUCAGAUAUUGGGCUGAUUUUUGGUAUGUGAGUUAACCAUGAUGAGUUAUAGGUCAAGCUUAAGUUUUGUUCCCGCUCCGCUAAUUUUCGCUGAAAUUACAAGCGUUGGACUUUGAUAAGUUAUUGAAAAUCACAGUUAUAUGGAUUUUUUCUCUAUUCCCCUCCAGAUUUUGAGCUGAUUUUUGAUAUGUGAGACUACCAUCAUGUUUGUGUCCACAUGUGUUUAUAUUGAAAUUGCAGAUUUUUCAACUUUUUGGGACGGGGCCAUUCGUGUCGCUUUGACACAUCUAGUUCUUUAUUUAUAAAAGAAUUGAAUGUUUCUUUUCAUAGUUUUAUUGGGGCAUGACAGUGUUUGGUGAAGCAUAUAAUGUCACUGAUUUCUUUGGAUUUGAUAUAAUUUAAUAAAAUGAAAUAACUGUAAACAUGACAAAAUUAUAGAAAUUUUCUUAAAUUAAAAGCAGUUAUUUGAUACUUUGUUUCUUGUAGGCAUUGCUUAGUAAUGGACCAAAUAGACCUCAUGACAAAUACACACGGUUAGACCAAGAAAUGGAGAGGUCCAAUCAGCGAUAUAUAGAGGACACAUCUCAACAACAACAGGUAACACAUAUAAAUGUUUCAGUAACAAUGUUAACUAUAAAGACAUAUAAAUGUCUGAACCAAAUUUUGAUCGUCUGAAAAAUAAAUUUUAGUGUUAUUUCAAAAACAAAGGAUAAUAGUUUGAUAAUCAGGGAAAUAAUGUUACAAACAAAUUACUUAUAAAAUGACAGAAGUUGAUAUUUGUUGAACAGAACAAUAUUUUGCUAAUUUUAUGGUUAUUUGAAUUAUUUCCCUUUAAUAGUAGCAGAUUAAAAAAAUUGCUUUAGAAAAUAAUUUCAAAUUACAAUUAUGCACAACUUGCUGUUAGAAAACAGAGCUAUAGACAUACAAAACAAUGUUUUGAACUAAUUAUCUAUUAGAUCUAUUUAUGAUACAAGUUUUCAUGUCACAGUUAAACCUUCUAAAUCAGUGAGUCAUAUUAUGGUAAGUCAUCAUUUUGUUUGAUAUGUAUGACAAAGACAUCAUGUAACUAUUUAACUUGAACUGUAUAGUAAGUAUUAAUUUUUAUUUCACAGAACUCACUUCAUACUAACAACCUUUCACUUGAGCAAUCUGCUAAAAUAUUUUACCAUUUGAUCAGUUAGUUGGAGAAGAAAUCUAACUGCAAUUUGGUAAAGUGUUUUAGACAUUGCUAUUGUGAUACCACAAAGGUGACAGGAUAAGUACUGUAAAACAUUUGUUUUUGUGUAUUUAAUCUUUAUUUGAUUGAUUUGUUGCAGUUGAUCAUGAGAACACAAGAUGACAACAUGGAUCUUAUCAGCAAAAGUGUUGGAUCUUUGAAGAACAUGAGUCAACAAAUAGGCAGCGAACUAGAGGAGCAAAAUGUGUAAGAAAUUACAUACUCUAAAUUGAAAUUUUUUAAAACAUUUUUUACUAUUCAUCCACCAUGACAACUAUAAAAUCACAAAAAACCUGGUGACAGAGAAAAUGCCUGACACCACAGACCAGGGCCAAAGUGAUUUUUGUAUGAAGUCAAUAGGUCAAGUGUUGCAGAAUUACAAAUAGUAAUAUAUUGAUAUAUUGUCGAGCCUGCAACUUUUGUUGCAGAAAGCUCGACAUAGGGAUAGUGAUCCGGCGGCAGCGGGGGCAGUGUUAGCUAACUUCUUAAAAGCUUUAUAUUUUAGAAGGUGGAAGACCUGGAUGCUUCAUACUUUGUAUAUAGAUGCCUCAUGUACAAGUCAGUCACAUGUCCAAUGUCCUUGACCUCAUUUCAUGGUUCAGUGACCACUUGAAAAAAAAGUUCAAAUUUUUUGUAUGUUGAAUUCUGCUUUUAUUAUAAGUAAUAGGAUAACUAUAUUCAUAUGUGGGUCCUUGCAAGUCCUCAUGUCUGUCAGACAGUUUUCACUUGACCUCGACCUCAUUUCAUGGAUCAGUGAACAAGUUAAGUUUUGGUGGGUCAAGUCCAUAUCUCAGAUACUAUAAGCAUAGGGCUAGUAUAUUCGUGUAUGGAAGGCUGUAAGGUGUACAUGUCCAACUGGCAGGUGUCAUCUGACCUUGACCUCAUUUUCAUGGUUCAGUGGUUAUAGUUAAAUUUUUGUGUUUUGGUCUGUUUUUCUCAUACUAUAUGCAAUAGGUCUACUAUAUUUGUUGUAUGGAAUGAUAGUAAGGUGAUCAUGUCUAGCGGGCAGAUGUCAUGUGACCUUGACCUCAUUUUCAUGGUUCAGUGGUCAAUGUUAAGUUUUUGAGUUUUUGUAUUUUUAUCUAAUGCUAUAUGCUAUAGGUCAACUAUAUUUGGUGAUAUUUUAUGAUCUUUAUGUCAGUCGUGCAGGUUUUAUUUGACCGUGACCUCAUUUUCACGGUUCAUUGCACUGUGUUAAGUUUUUGUGUUUUGGUCUAUUUUUCUUAAACUAUAAGUAAUAGGUCAACUAUAUAUGUUGUAUAGAAGCAUUUUUAGCUGUACAUGUCUGCCUGGCAUGGUUCAUUUGACCUUGACCUCAUUUUCAAGGUUCAUUGGUCUUUGUUUAGUUAUCUUGGUUAAUGUAAGUUUAUGUGACAGUUGUUAUAAAGCUUAACUUUUAUACUUAAGACUAUCAACAUAAUAUCAAUGACUAGUAUAGAAGGCGAGACAUUUCAGCGUGUGCACUCUUGUUUAAAACAAAAAAAAUUAUUUUGUGUGUUUGAGUUGGCGUCUUGCAGGCGUUAACUUUAAAUUUCCUUUUUGUCGAGCCUUCGACUUUAGUCGAAAAAGCGAGACUAAGCGAUCCUACAUUCCGUUGGCGGCGGCGGCAUCCACAAAUAUUCACUCUGUGGUAAAAAAUUUUUAAAUUUUAUAGCGAACCCUAUGAUAGUUUUCCAUAGAUUCACCUGCAAGUUACCUGUCGAUUUAAACUUUUGUAAGUUCUAUUGUCCAUCUAACAAAUACAACAGGUAUUGUUCUCUGUAUAGUUCAUUCACCAAGACCUUUAAAUUUCUUCUAGGAGAAAAUAUCACUCAUUGAUUAAUUUACUGACCAAAAAAUUAUCUGUUUUUUUAUUGAAAUACUUCUAUAAACUCACACAAACUGUAUGCAAUAUUGUAUUUAUUCAAUAUACUAUUAAUAUAUUUUCAAUCUGUUCAAUAUAAAAUCUGAUUUAAUAAUAAAAAGUAUAUUUUAGACACAUUUUUUAGUAUUUUCCAAAGAAUUUGCCAUGUUUUUGUUGUUGUUAAUUUAUAGACUAUGUUUAUGAGACCUUAAUUAAAAAUAAUAAUAUUCAAAUUUUUAUUUAUCAAACACACAAAAAUAUUUAUUGAAUAUUUGAUCAGAAAUCAACUUUUAAUUUUUAAAUCAUUAUUAAUAUUGAACACAUUAAAUACAAGUUUUUGGUUUUGAAUAAAUACAACACCACAUGCAGUUUUGUGAGUCCUUUCUUAGUAUUGGUAUAAGUAUUUUUUCAUCAUUGACAGUUCCAUUUUUUGUUCAGGUAAAUUAAUCAAUGAGUGAUAUAUUUCUCCUAGGUGAAAUUUAAAGGUCCCAGUGAAUAAACUACACAGAGAACAAUACCUGUUGUAUUUGUUAGAUGGGACAAUAGAACUGCCAAAAGUUUAAAUCGACAGGUAACUUGCAGGUGAAUCUAUGGAAAACUAUCAUAGGGUUCGCUAUAAUAACUUUCUUAAACUAUACUGGAUUUCUACCAAACUUGGACAGUAGCUUGUUUAUGAUCAUAAGAUAGUAUCCAGAAGUAAAUUUUCUUCCAGUUAACAUUACAUACAGUUUGCAGUUAAAGUUUUCAAAACAUUUAUAAGAUUCAUUAACUAUCCUAAAUUUUUACCAAACUUGGACAGAAGCUUCUUACAAUCAUAAGAUAGUAUCAAGAGGAAUAUUUUUAUUGAUUUUUUUUCUCAUUUUUGUUGAGCCUGAGAUUUACAGCAAAAGUAAGCGAGACACUGGGUUCCGCGGAACCCUUACAAAUUUUAUUUAAUAAAACAUGCUGAGAUUUUGAAUGAACUUAAGAGUAAUGUAUUCUGCUCCAAAUGAUGCAUUUGCAGAGUUAUUCUGGGUAAUAAUGAAUUACAUUUAUUUCUUUUUGCAAAAAUUACAUAAAAGGGAAAAUGAUAAAAAGAGGUUAACCAUAAGAUAAACAUGUUUGAUAAUGAAAAUUUCAAAUACAGCAUGAAGACUGCAACCACUAUAUUAUAGGUUCCAGGAUUAAAACAAGUCAAGAUUACAACAUUUGGGAUUUGUCUAUCAGCAAAACAAACCAACAAACUUUAAUAAACAUUUAAAAUAGACAAAUUAGACAGGUCUUAACUGAGGACAAAAUACUAAAUAAAUAACAAAAAAUAACAAAGGACUAGGUCAGGUAAGGGCCGAUUUUGGCCUAAAAUUUCAGGUUCAUCUAACGAAAGAUUUUGAACACUUUUUAAACACUUAAGUGUCUAUUUAAAUUGAUUCAAUUAGUUUAUGUGAAAGAUUUUAACUGAUUUACCCAUAGUCAUUAAAAAUGCUCCGAUUCAAGCUUAAACAUGAAAAAUCUAUCAAAUAUGCCAAAAAACGUCACUUUUCAGAUAGUUUUUAGUCAAAAAUGAAAGUGGCCGCAUCCGUGUUCAUCCUCAACUUUUAUAUAUGUUAUGUAUUAUCAUCAAAUACAACUUACAUUUCAAUAUUAUGAAUGAACACUAAUGCGUCCACUUUCAUUUAAGACGGAAACCGUCUAAAAUUUAACUAAAAUUGGGAAGAUUUCAGUAAUUUAGCAUGACUUAAUGAUGCUAGUACCCGAUAUAUGUGCAUUGUGUUGUCAAAAACAGCCUAUAUUUAUGUAACAGAAGCAUUCUGCUUUCCAGUAAAUAGCUAAAAGAUUACAUUUUCACAAUUUUGUAAAACUGCUAUAUUUUGGGGCCAAAAAGGGGUCUUACUGAACCUACUCCUUUCAUGGAUUAUUGGUGUUUAACAACACUUAGAGCACCUUUUAUUGCAGCCAUUUAUUAUUGGUUGAGGAAGCUAAAGUAAGGGGAGAUAACCACCAAUCUUUGACAGGAAAACUGGUAAUCUUACUCAAUUAAGAUCAGAAUCAAACAUUGUGCUUUGAGCAGAAUUUUGACUCAGAACUGCAAUGUUUGCAUGGUUAGCAGACUAGUGUUUAUGUUAUGACAUGUAAAUGAGAAUUGGUUACUUUAUGUUACAGUAUGUUAGAUGAGUUUCAUACAGAAAUGGAUCACACAGAGAGUAGAAUGGAUGUCACGAUGAAGAAAUUGGCUAAAGUUAUGCAUAUGUCAAAUGGUAGGUCUUCUAAAUUGAUUUACCUAACUUUGUUAAAAAGUAGUCAUUUUUGAAUAUCAUUAAAAUAAUUAAUUUCCUAUUCUUUAGGAAAAGAUAAAAUAUAAAAAUUCAUGAUUUAUUUUUUGACUUUAUGAAGUCUUUUUUUGUCUUAAAUGCUCCCUGUGUAAUACUUUAGGCAUAACCAAUAAGCAUGCAUUUUAUGAAGUUACAUAUAGAAAGUAAUAUACCAAAAGAAGUUUGUAUUUUUAUUUUUCAGAUAAAAGACAGUGGUGUGGAAUAUUUGUGUUGAUUGGCAUUUUGAUUGUGAUUAUUAUAUUUUUCUUUGUUUUAUGAUAUCUUAAAGUUGUUAUUUUUACAGAUAUUUAUAUGUAUGAGAAGUCUAUUUUAAGAAGCAAAAAGGAAACAUUGGCUAGAGUAGCUUUAGUUAGAAUGUACACUAUUGAGCCUUAUCAUGCAUGUUGAGAUUAAUGACUGAUUGAUUGCUGGUUUUAGAUAGCCACGCCAACAUACAAUGGCCAUGUCGUUGUAGUGUAUAGAUACGUAGUACACUGUGUGGAAGGGACCAUUAACGUACAGCAGUGCAAUAGCUGUGUAAUUUUUAUCACUACCACUAAUUCUUGUAUAAGGUUGUAAAAUUUUAUCAGAUGUAUUGAGUUAAAAAAGUUAUCAUUUGUUAAAUGAUUUGUAUGUUUUCCUAUGAUAUAGUGUAACUAACAGUAGCAUUCAAACUGCAGGCGAAAGGAAGAUUGACCUUAUUAUUUUGAUUUUAUUUGCAGGAGAAAAAGUCUAGUCAAAAAGAUUACCUAAACUUGUAUUAAUGUUUUCCUUAGUUAUAUGAAAAUAGCAAACUUGCAUAUGGUGUCCAGUUAAGCCAGCUAUAUGCUGGACCAUAAUGAGAUUUGGCAGACAAGUCUGGUAAAUACAACCGUUUUGAAACCCAUGGCCAAAGGGUUGAAAUACUUCCCUUGGAUUUUUAACAAAAUUAAUUUUUCUCAUGAAUUUCAGAGUUUAGAUUUUGUCUUGUCUUGUCUUGAACAGAUAUAUAAUGUUAAUUAUGUACACGAAAAAAAUACCUUGCCAGCC
RNAcentral lists this long non-coding RNA (13271 nucleotides) under Mytilus galloprovincialis (Mediterranean mussel). The record is from RNAcentral. Lineage: Eukaryota; Metazoa; Mollusca; Bivalvia; Mytilida; Mytilidae.